UUCCUUUCCCUCUCAUCUUCUGGAUCCCAUCGGUUUCUUCCUCUACCGGAUCCCGACUGUGCGAUUUACCUCCGCCUUUCGUUUUCGCCAUAAUUCUCACUAAACUGCAUUUAAACAAAUAAAUGGUUCUAAUAAAAUUCGGAUUCUACUAAACUAGGUUAAAAUCUAAUUAUUCCUAACUAAACCCUAAUACCCUAAUCCAAAACCCUAAUUUUAGUAAAUAUUCACUAACUAAACCCUAAACCCUAAUUAUGAUUCACUAACAAAACCCUAAACCCUAAUUAUGGUUCACUAACAAAAUCCUAAUUUUUAUUCACUAACUACCUAAACCCUAAUUAUUAUUCACUAACAAAACACUAAUUAUUAUUCACUACCUAAACCCUAAUAAUUCUCUAACAUUCUCUAAUCAAACCCUAAAAAUUCUCUAAAACCCUAAUCACAAUAAACCCUAAUUAAUUUCAUAAUUUAAAAAAAA
Molecule: long non-coding RNA, 475 nt
Filed under: Linum usitatissimum (flax)
Lineage: Eukaryota; Viridiplantae; Streptophyta; Magnoliopsida; Malpighiales; Linaceae
Description: long non-coding RNA (LUSI_LNC007049)
Source: RNAcentral